Non-coding RNA from Struthio camelus australis, 271 nucleotides. NCBI's taxonomy places the organism in Eukaryota, Metazoa, Chordata, Aves, Struthioniformes, Struthionidae. The record is from RefSeq and is a predicted model, not a curated record.
CUGGAUUGUUUUUGUUCACGAAAAUCAAGUACAGCAGCUCUACGUCCCAGGUUCUCAGGAUACCCUGAACUUACACUUUUCAGAACCUCAUUGGCCUCCACGCUUAUAUUUCUUGUCACUUCUCCCUGUCAACGUGAGCACCACUGCAGCUGGAGAAGGGCAGCUGAUACUAAAAGCUCUAAGGCUAAGCGGGUUGAAUCAUGAGAUUCCAGGAACUGUUGCUUCAGAAAAAGCUCGCAUUGUUGAAUUAACCUCUUCUCAUUUCCAUCGC